UACGGAGGAUCCAAGCGUUAUCCGGAAUCAUUGGGUUUAAAGGGUCCGUAGGCGGGAGAGUCAGUCAGUGGUGAAAGUCUGCAGCUUAACUGUAGAACUGCCAUUGAUACUGCUUUCCUUGAGUAAUUAUGAAGUGGUUAGAAUAUGUAGUGUAGCGGUGAAAUGCAUAGAUAUUACAUAGAAUACCGAUUGCGAAGGCAGAUCACUAAUAAAAUACUGACGCUGAUGGACGAAAGCGUAGGUAGCGAACAGG
RNAcentral lists this unclassified non-coding RNA (253 nucleotides) under uncultured Flavobacteriaceae bacterium. RNAcentral describes it as "contains 16S-23S intergenic spacer region". It matches the Rfam family "Bacterial small subunit ribosomal RNA", at positions 524 to 776 of the family's 1533-position model. Lineage: Bacteria; Pseudomonadati; Bacteroidota; Flavobacteriia; Flavobacteriales; Flavobacteriaceae. The record is from RNAcentral.